This 425-nucleotide ribosomal RNA is filed under the name uncultured bacterium. RNAcentral's name for it is "partial 16S ribosomal RNA". It matches the Rfam family "Bacterial small subunit ribosomal RNA", at positions 354 to 796 of the family's 1533-position model. The record is from RNAcentral.
GUGGGGAAUCUUGCGCAAUGGGCGAAAGCCUGACGCAGCCAUGCCGCGUGAAUGAUGAAGGUCUUAGGAUUGUAAAAUUCUUUCACCGGGGACGAUAAUGACGGUACCCGGAGAAGAAGCCCCGGCUAACUUCGUGCCAGCAGCCGCGGUAAUACGAAGGGGGCUAGCGUUGCUCGGAAUUACUGGGCGUAAAGGGCGCGUAGGCGGACAGUUUAGUCAGAGGUGAAAGCCCAGGGCUCAACCUUGGAAUUGCCUUUGAUACUGGCUGUCUUGAGUACGGGAGAGGUGAGUGGAACUCCGAGUGUAGAGGAGAAAUUCGUAGAUAUUCGGAAGAACACCAGUGGCGAAGGCGACUCACUGGCCCGUUACUGACGCUGAGGCGCGAAAGCGUGGGGAGCAAACAGGAUUAGAUACCCUGGUAGUCC